GACGAACGCUGGCGGCGUGCCUAAUACAUGCAAGUAGAACGCACAGUUUAUACCGUAGCUUGCUACACCAUAAACUGUGAGUUGCGAACGGGUGAGUAACGCGUAGGUAACCUUCCUGGUAGCGGGGGAUAACUAUUGGAAACGAUAGCUAAUACCGCAUAAUAUUGAUUAUUGCAUGAUAAUUGAUUGAAAGAUGCUAUUGCAUCACUACCAGAUGAGCCUGCGUUGUAUUAGCUAGUAGGCGAGGUAACGGCUCACCUAUGCGGAGAUACAUAGCCUAGCUGGAGGGGGGGAUGGCCACCCUGGGACGGAGACACGGCCCAGGCUCCUAAGGGAAGGAGCAGUAGGGAAAUUUCGGCCAUGGACGGAAGGCUGACCGCGCAACGCCGGGGGAGUGGAGAAGGUCGUCGGAUCGUAAAGGUCUGUUGUAAGGGAAGAAAGGGCGUGAGAGUGGAAAGUUCAUGCUGUGACGGUAUCCUAACAGAAAGGGACGGCUAACUACGUG
RNAcentral lists this ribosomal RNA (505 nucleotides) under uncultured bacterium. RNAcentral's name for it is "partial 16S ribosomal RNA". It matches the Rfam family "Bacterial small subunit ribosomal RNA", at positions 28 to 507 of the family's 1533-position model. The record is from RNAcentral.